UGCUGCUGCUACAUCUCCGUCGUCGCUAUCGCCAUCGUCGACCGCCGAAGCUCCGGAGAGUCUUCACCAAGAAAAUUUGCUUCAAUUGAAAUUAGUUUGCAUAUCAAUUGCUUUGGGUCUGAACAUUCAUGAAUGAAGGUCUCUUGUAUCGGUUCACUGUCUCAGGGGAAGGAUCUCUGUUCUCUCAGAUGCACGAUGACAAUGGAGAGUAGAAAGGCGGCGGCCCAGGUGCUGACGGUGGCUGGGUCGGACUCGGGUGCAGGGGCGGGAAUCCAGGCUGACCUCAAAGCUUGUGCGGCACGAGGUGUGUAUUGUGCCUCUGUCAUCACGGCAGUUACCGCCCAGAACACUCACGGAGUUCAAGAUAUCCAUCUUCUCCCUCCACAUUUCGUUUCUCUCCAGUUAAAAUCUGUCCUCUCGGACUUCCAAAUCGAUGUCGUAAG
Long non-coding RNA from Tarenaya hassleriana, 443 nucleotides. RefSeq lists it as uncharacterized. NCBI's taxonomy places the organism in Eukaryota, Viridiplantae, Streptophyta, Magnoliopsida, Brassicales, Cleomaceae. The record is from RefSeq and is a predicted model, not a curated record. The transcript has 3 exons.